UACGAAGGGGGCAAGCGUUACUCGGAAUUACUGGGCGUAAAGCGUGCGUAGGUGGUGAGUUAAGUCUGAUGUGAAAUCCCCGGGCUCAACCUGGGAAUGGCAUUGGAUACUGGCUCGCUAGAGUGCGGUAGAGGGUGGUGGAAUUCCCGGUGUAGCAGUGAAAUGCGUAGAGAUCGGGAGGAACACCAGUGGCGAAGGCGGCUGCCUGGACCAGCACUGACACUGAAGCACGAAAGCGUGGGGAGCAAACAGG
This 253-nucleotide ribosomal RNA is filed under the name uncultured bacterium. Its description in RNAcentral is "partial 16S ribosomal RNA". It matches the Rfam family "Bacterial small subunit ribosomal RNA", at positions 524 to 776 of the family's 1533-position model. The record is from RNAcentral.